Molecule: transfer RNA, 64 nt
Filed under: Atkinsoniella thaloidea
Lineage: Eukaryota; Metazoa; Arthropoda; Insecta; Hemiptera; Cicadellidae
Description: tRNA-Tyr
Source: RNAcentral
AUUAAGAUGUCUGAUUAAAGUAAUAAAUUGUAAAUUUAUUUAAGAAUUGACUAUUCUCUUAAUA